GCACCCUGUAGCACAAUGGGUCACUGUGACUUACAGUUAACUAGAAGGUUGGUGGUUCAAGCCCACCCAGGGACA
This is a non-coding RNA of Podarcis lilfordi (Lilford's wall lizard), 75 nucleotides long. NCBI's taxonomy places the organism in Eukaryota, Metazoa, Chordata, Lepidosauria, Squamata, Lacertidae. The record is from the annotation of a GenBank genome assembly.